CAAUAGCGUAUAUUAAAGUUGUUGCGGUUAAAAAGCUCGUAGUUGGAUUUCUGCUGAGGACGACCGGUCCGCCCUCUGGGUGAGUAUCUGGCUUGGCCUUGGCAUCUUCUUGGAGAACGUAGCUGCACUUGACUGUGUGGUGCGGUAUCCAGGACUUUUACUUUGAGGAAAUUAGAGUGUUUCAAGCAGGCACACGCCUUGAAUACAUUAGCAUGGAAUAAUAAGAUAAGACCUUGGUUUAUUUUGUUGGUUCUAGAUCCGAGGUAAUGGUUAAUAGGGAUAGUUGGGGCAUUGCGUAUUAAUCUGUCAGAGGUGAAAUUCUUGGAUUUGUUAAGGACGGACCACUGCGAAAGCAUUUUGCCAAGGAUGUUUUCAUUGAUCAAGAACGAAAGUUAGGGGAUCGAAGAUGAUCAGAU
This 416-nucleotide ribosomal RNA is filed under the name uncultured eukaryote. RNAcentral's name for it is "SSU rRNA". It matches the Rfam family "Eukaryotic small subunit ribosomal RNA", at positions 592 to 1013 of the family's 1831-position model. The record is from RNAcentral.